UUAAAAUGAAUUGACGGGGGCCCGCACAAGCAGCGGAGCAUGUGGUUUAAUUCGAAGCAACGCGAAGAACCUUACCUAGACUUGACAUCUCCUGCAUUACCCUUAAUCGGGGAAGCCCUUCGGGGCAGGAAGACAGGUGGUGCAUGGUUGUCGUCAGCUCGUGUCGUGAGAUGUUGGGUUAAGUCCCGCAACGAGCGCAACCCUUAUUUUAGUUGCUACCAUUCAGUUGAGCACUCUAAAGAGACUGCCCGGGUUAACCGGGAGGAAGGUGGGGAUGACGUCAAAUCAUCAUGCCCCUUAUGUCUAGGGCUACACACGUGCUACAAUGGUGAGAACAAAGAGACGCAAGACCGCGAGGUGGAGCAAAUCUCACAAAACUCAUCCCAGUUCGGAUUGCAGGCUGAAACUCGCCUGCAUGAAGCCGGAGUUGCUAGUAAUCGCGAAUCAGCAUGUCGCGGUGAAUACGUUCCCGGGCCUU
RNAcentral lists this ribosomal RNA (478 nucleotides) under uncultured Clostridium sp. Its description in RNAcentral is "bacterial SSU rRNA". It matches the Rfam family "Bacterial small subunit ribosomal RNA", at positions 903 to 1382 of the family's 1533-position model. The record is from RNAcentral. Lineage: Bacteria; Bacillati; Bacillota; Clostridia; Eubacteriales; Clostridiaceae.